CCUACGGGAGGCAGCAGUGGGGAAUAUUGCACAAUGGGGGAAACCCUGAUGCAGCGACGCCGCGUGAGUGAAGAAGUAUUUCGGUAUGUAAAGCUCUAUCAGCAGGGAAGAAGAAAGACGGUACCUGACUAAGAAGCCCCGGCUAACUACGUGCCAGCAGCCGCGGUAAUCCGUAGGGGGCAAGCGUUAUCCGGAUUUACUGGGUGUAAAGGGAGCGUAGACGGCUGUGCAAGUCUGAAGUGAAAGCCCAGGGCUCAACCCUGGGACUGCUUUGGAAACUGUGGAGCUAGAGUGCUGGAGAGGUAAGUGGAAUUCCUAGUGUAGCGGUGAAAUGCGUAGAUAUUAGGAGGAACACCAGUGGCGAAGGCGGCUUACUGGACAGUAACUGACGUUGAGGCUCGAAAGCGUGGGGAGCAAACAGGAUUAGAUACCCGGGUAGUC
RNAcentral lists this ribosomal RNA (441 nucleotides) under uncultured bacterium. RNAcentral describes it as "partial 16S ribosomal RNA". It matches the Rfam family "Bacterial small subunit ribosomal RNA", at positions 338 to 795 of the family's 1533-position model. The record is from RNAcentral.